This 229-nucleotide ribosomal RNA is filed under the name uncultured bacterium. RNAcentral describes it as "partial 16S ribosomal RNA". It matches the Rfam family "Bacterial small subunit ribosomal RNA", at positions 524 to 749 of the family's 1533-position model. The record is from RNAcentral.
UACGUAGGGUGCAAGCGUUAAUCGGAAUUACUGGGCGUAAAGCGUGCGCAGGCGGUUAUGUAAGACAGAUGUGAAAUGCCCGGGCUUAACCUGGGAACUGCAUUUGUGACUGCAUGGCUAGAAUCUGGCAGAGGGGGGUAGAAUUCCACGUGUAGCAGUGAAAUGCGUAGAUAUGUGGAGGAACACCAGAUGGCCGGAAGGCAGCCCCCUGGGUCAAGAUUGACGCUCA